UGUGUAGGCGGUGUGAUUAGUCGAAUGUUAAAUCCUCGGGCUCAACCCGAGGCUCGCAUUCGAAACGGUCACACUCGAGAGAGUGAGAGGUGUGCGGAACUCAAGGUGUAGGGGUGAAAUCCGUUGAUAUCUUGGGGAACACCAAAUGCGAAGGCAGCACACUGGCACUUUUCUGACGCUGAGACACGAAAGCGUGGGUAGCGAACG
RNAcentral lists this ribosomal RNA (207 nucleotides) under uncultured bacterium. RNAcentral's name for it is "partial 16S ribosomal RNA". It matches the Rfam family "Bacterial small subunit ribosomal RNA", at positions 568 to 774 of the family's 1533-position model. The record is from RNAcentral.